CCUACGGGGGGCAGCAGUGGGGAAUAUUGGACAAUGGGGGGAACCCUGAUCCAGCCAUGCCGCGUGUGUGAAGAAGGCCCUCGGGUUGUAAAGCACUUUCAGUGAGGAAGAACGCCUGGUGGUUAAUACCCAUCAGGAAAGACAUCACUCACAGAAGAAGCACCGGCUAACUCCGUGCCAGCAGCCGCGGUAAUACGGAGGGUGCGAGCGUUAAUCGGAAUUACUGGGCGUAAAGCGCGCGUAGGUGGCUUGAUAAGCCGGUUGUGAAAGCCCCGGGCUCAACCUGGGAACGGCAUCCGGAACUGUCAAGCUAGAGUGCAGGAGAGGAAGGUAGAAUUCCCGGUGUAGCGGUGAAAUGCGUAGAGAUCGGGAGGAAUACCAGUGGCGAAGGCGGCCUUCUGGGCUGACACUGACACCGAGGUGCGAAAGCGUGGGUAGCAAACAGGAUUAGAUACCCUAGUAGUG
This 465-nucleotide ribosomal RNA is filed under the name Vreelandella stevensii. RNAcentral describes it as "partial 16S ribosomal RNA". It matches the Rfam family "Bacterial small subunit ribosomal RNA", at positions 338 to 795 of the family's 1533-position model. The record is from RNAcentral. Lineage: Bacteria; Pseudomonadati; Pseudomonadota; Gammaproteobacteria; Oceanospirillales; Halomonadaceae.